This 227-nucleotide ribosomal RNA is filed under the name Ixodes scapularis (black-legged tick). RNAcentral describes it as "eukaryotic small subunit ribosomal RNA". It matches the Rfam family "Eukaryotic small subunit ribosomal RNA", at positions 1229 to 1478 of the family's 1831-position model. Lineage: Eukaryota; Metazoa; Arthropoda; Arachnida; Ixodida; Ixodidae. The record is from RNAcentral.
UUCCGGGAGGAUUGACAGAUUGAGAGCUCUUUCUUAAUUCGGUGGAUGGUGGUACAUGUCCGUUCUUAGUUGGUGGAGCGAUAUGUAUGGUUAAUUACGGUAACGAACAAGAUUUUAGCCUAUUAAAUAGGUGCGUGGUUCUCCGCACCUUACACCCUUCUUGCCUGGGACAAGCUGCUCCUAGCCGCACGAAACAGAGCAAUAACAGGUCUGUGAUGCCCUUAGAU